CAAAGCGUUCGACCCAAACGAUCAUCAGCUGGCAGCCGGAACCAAGAACCGGAGAACCCAACUUUAUGUCUACAACUGGACAGGUCUGGACAGACAGGUAAGAGACAGACAGACAGACAGACAGACAGACAGGUAAGAGACAGACAGACAGGUAAGAGACAGACAGACAGACAGACAGGUAAGAGACAGACAGACAGACAGGUAAGAGACAGACAGACAGACAGACAGACAGGUAAGAGACAGACAGACAGACAGACAGACAGACAGGUAAGAGACAGACAGACAGACAGGUAAGAGACAGACAGACAGACAGA
This is a long non-coding RNA of Acanthochromis polyacanthus (spiny chromis), 314 nucleotides long. RefSeq lists it as uncharacterized. The record is from RefSeq and is a predicted model, not a curated record. The transcript is spliced from 3 exons. NCBI's taxonomy places the organism in Eukaryota, Metazoa, Chordata, Actinopteri, Pomacentridae.